RNAcentral lists this ribosomal RNA (253 nucleotides) under uncultured bacterium. RNAcentral describes it as "partial 16S ribosomal RNA". It matches the Rfam family "Bacterial small subunit ribosomal RNA", at positions 524 to 776 of the family's 1533-position model. The record is from RNAcentral.
UACGUAGGGUGCGAGCGUUGUCCGGAAUUAUUGGGCGUAAAGAGCUUGUAGGCGGUUUGUCGCGUCUGCCGUGAAAAUUCGAGGCUCAACCUCGAACUUGCGGUGGGUACGGGCAGACUAGAGUGUGGUAGGGGAGACUGGAAUUCCUGGUGUAGCGGUGAAAUGCGCAGAUAUCAGGAGGAACACCGGUGGCGAAGGCGGCAUCCUGGACCGGCAUUGACGCUGAGGAGCGAAAGCCAGGGGAGCAAACGGG